RNAcentral lists this transfer RNA (73 nucleotides) under bacterium. RNAcentral describes it as "tRNA-Cys". It matches the Rfam family "tRNA". From Rfam's summary of the family: Transfer RNA (tRNA) molecules are approximately 80 nucleotides in length. Their secondary structure includes four short double-helical elements and three loops (D, anti-codon, and T loops). RNAcentral also lists the same sequence under 1 other name. The record is from RNAcentral.
GGCAACGUAGCCAAGUGGUAAGGCGGUGGUCUGCAAAAUCACUAUUUCGCCGGUUCGAAUCCGGCCGUUGCCU